RNAcentral lists this transfer RNA (85 nucleotides) under Felis catus (domestic cat). It matches the Rfam family "tRNA". Rfam says of the family: Transfer RNA (tRNA) molecules are approximately 80 nucleotides in length. Their secondary structure includes four short double-helical elements and three loops (D, anti-codon, and T loops). The record is from Rfam by way of RNAcentral. Lineage: Eukaryota; Metazoa; Chordata; Mammalia; Carnivora; Felidae.
GCCUGGCUGGCUCAGUCAGUUAAGCAUCUGACUUCAGCUCAGAUCAUGAUCUCAUGGUUUGUGAGUUUGAGCCCCAUGUCGGGCU